This 226-nucleotide ribosomal RNA is filed under the name uncultured bacterium. RNAcentral describes it as "partial 16S ribosomal RNA". It matches the Rfam family "Bacterial small subunit ribosomal RNA", at positions 524 to 754 of the family's 1533-position model. The record is from RNAcentral.
UACGUAGGGUGCGAGCGUUAAUCGGAAUUACUGGGCGUAAAGCGUGCGCAGGCGGUUUUGCAAGCCGGAUGUGAAAUCCCCGGGCUCAACCUGGGAAUGGCAUUUGGGCUGCAAGGCUCGAGUGCGGCAGAGGAGACUGGAAUUCCUGGUGUAGCAGUGAAAUGCGUUGAUAUCAGGAGGAACACCCAUGGCGAAGGCAGCUGAACUGGCAUUAGUCGUGACGUCC